AGUUGGUGAUGUACUGGCGUGCUGCGAUUCAUGGGGUCGCAAAGAGUCGGACACGACUGAGCGACUGAACUGAAGUAAAGAACCCUGCUUCUUACAGGAGAAGCAAGAUACUGGAGCUUGCUCUCUGAGUCGGGAAGAUCCCCUGGAGGAGGAAGUAGCAACCCACUCCAGUAUUCUUGCCUGGAGAAUCCCCAUGGACGGAGGAGCCUGGCGGGCUACAGUCCAUGGGGUUGCAGAGAGUUGGACACGACUGAGCGACUAAGCAUGCAUGCGAUUCAGUUUGGAGUAUUGCCUCAAGUAUUUUAAUGCUUCAUGUUUUUUCCCAGGAAGUUUUUAUUUUUUUGUUUGAAUCAGCCAAAUUGUGUCAAUGUUCAUGGUAUGAUUUUUGUAAUAAGGUGGCUCAGAUGGUAAAGAAUCUGCCUGCAACGCAGGAGACCUGUGUUCGAUCCCUGGGUCUGGAAGAUCUGCUGGAGAAGGAAAUGGCUACCCACUUCAGUACUCUUGACUGGAAAAUUCCACGGACAGAGGAGCCUGGCAGGCUACAGUCCAUGGGGUGACAAAGAGUCGGACACGCCUGAGCGACUAACACUUUCACUUUCACUUCAGAAUAGAGGUAAUUUUGAUCUGUUCAUUUUGUGGAUUUGGAGUGGGAGUGUUGACAAGAUUUCUGGUUCAGUGGCCCCUCUUGCAUCUGUGCAGCAAACAGCAAAGUCCGGGUUCCUGAACAGAUUUAUUUCUGGUGGUGCUGGGAGGGGGACAGGUCCCCUGAACUUUGCUUCAGCCUUUCCAAGGGGACCUGGAACCUCCGUGUUGUACUCCUUUCUGCCUUUGCCACGUGACUCCUACAGGGCAGGUCUUCCUGCUGUUUUGCUUCUCCUGAUGCGUUGCUUCUCAAAGAUCCCACUUUACACGGGCGUCUCCGCAGUCGGUGCCCUGAUGCGUGGCAUGCGUGUUGUUGUGCAGGCAUGGGGGGCCGCCCGCUGCCCUGUUGCCGGGGGUUCUGUUCUGCGCCAGCUGUUCGGCCAGCCCUCGUCUGCACCCGCCUGCCCCCCGUCGUCCUGGACUGCUCUCACUGCUGCAGAGCAGGGGCAGCCUGCCUGCUGGCGUCUCGUCCUCUCUCCUUUCUUGUGCACUUACAGUUGUUUUGAAGUCGAGGCAGUCUCGUCUUCCAGUCGUGCCGAGGGCGCGGUUUCCGUCCGGUCGUGUUUGUUCUUGCUCUUCGUUGUUUCUGGCGGCUCUGCAGGGGAUGCAGACCCAGGCCGCUUCCAUCCUCUUUGGUUCCCCAAGUCCUAUUCCGGGAGCUUUAGGGCACAUCUCUUAUGCCCCUCCCAGAUCUCCUGGAUCCUUCUGGGCCCUCGUCAGGUCAGCCUCUUCCUCUGGCUCAGCGUGGCCGACGGCUUGAGCACCUGUGCUACCUGCGUCUCACAGAGGUAGAAGUCAGUCCCCCAUCCUCCGUGUCUGGGGGCUCCGGAGGGGGAACCGGUGCUUGACUCAGGGCCAGUAUGGAGCAGGUGCCCAGACACAGUCCAUGGAGGAGAACAGCUCACGGAUGUCGUCCUGAGAACAGCUCUGGGUCGUGGCCCUGUCCCCGCACACGCCUGGCCUGUGGUGUGAGAUAUUAGCCCAGCCUGUAGAUAAAGACCCAAAGGUUCAGGGAGGCAAGGUUUGCAGCCGAUUGGCCACAGGCCUGGGAGGAGGCCAGGAGGAGGCCGGGCACUCCUCUCCACUCCGCUCCGCAGACAGUCUUGCCUCAAGGACGCUGGGGGAGCUGCCAGCCACCAGCAGACCCUGAGAGCAGCCUCCGCAUCUGACUCCGGGGUGACUGCCUUGAAGUCGCAGUGUUCCUUCAGACCCCAGCAGCACCAGGCGCCUGUGGGCCAGAAGGGGCAGACAGACGUGGGCCCGGGCCGCCUGCAGGCUCCGUCCCCCCCGAGGCUGCGGCCUGGCCUGCUGCCUCCUGCUCUGGGCACACCCGUCUCACGUGUGCGCCAGAUAAACAGCCAGACUCUGCUGUGCAGAAGGCACAACAGUGCACACAUUACUUUGCAAUUUGCUUUUCAAAUUUUGCUCUGUGAUGGUUCAUCCUUCAAGCCGAAGCCCAGAGCCCUGGCUUCUUCUGUCUCAUGUGUACAUUUUUCCAUCGAGAGGAGGCACGGGAGUGUAUUCAGCCUGGCCCUUGUUAGUAAACAUUCUGCUUGUUUCUGCGUUUGGGAGGCACAGAGCGUUGUGAUAAACAUUCAUGGACAUAUGUCCUUACAAGAGGAAGAGCCGGGGGGGUGGUUCUGAGAGGACGGAGCAGAGGCAGCUUCUCAGAUGUGCCCCCAGCCCCCAGCCCCAGCUGCUCUCCCUCUGCAGCGGGAACCCCGCCUCCUGGCCUGGACACACCUGCCCCCCACGUCCACUACUGACCUUUUGCAUUUGGAGUGACUUCCGUUUUGCUUUGCGUCUCCUCACUGCCCGAGUGCAGGCACCGUUCUGUAUCCAGGCUUAUGUUUCCACUUGCAUGAACCCUCCGUUUAUCCUUCAUCUCCUCAGUCUGCGGGAGCUCUUUGUACAGGCGGGGAAUUAAACCUCCUGAUUACAUGGGCUGUGCGCGUUUUCUGUUGCAAAUGGAGAGACAGCUGUGCAAGUUACAGGCCCCGGUGUUUGUCUUUAGACUCAGCACUCAUAUAUUUUAAACACACAAAUGUAACAUUUUUAUAUUUUAAUAUGUAAUAUACUCAUGUAAUAGGCUUCCUUGUACCAGACAGUAAAGAAUCUGCUUGUGAAGCAGAAUCCCAUGGACAGAGGAGCCUGGUGGGCUACAGUCCAUAGGGUCAUACAGAGUCAGACACGACUGGGGCAACUAACACACACACACACACUAAUGUAGUAUUUAAAAAAUUGCUAAUGUAUUUUACUUUGCCACAGAGGAUUUAACAUUUGUCUAAUGGCUGAACCGUUCUCUUUUUUUGUGACUGGACUUCCUGUCUUGGCUGAAGGUGUCACCCUUAUCUGGAAUUAUGCAAAUAGUCUUAUAUUUUUUUCUUAUUGGAUGUUUUUUUUUAGUUUUGCAUUCUGGUCCUUUAAAACAGACUAAGUUUAUCCUUGUAUUGGGAUGAGGCAAGGGUUCAGCGUGCUUUCCUCCCCACCUCUGAUGGGCUAUGGCAACCCCGCUGUGCAGUGGGCCCGGCCCCCCGCCGGCCCCACUGGAUGGAUGGGCCAGUCUUUCCUCUGCGGGUUCCUGCGCUUGGACCGUGUCUGGCCCUCUAGCCCGUUCCCCUGGGUGGUUCUACACCUGUUUCAUGGCAAUACUUAACACUUUGCAGAACGUUCUGACAAUCACGGAAAAUCCGUUCUUUAUAACUAAACUUUAAAGUAAAAAAAUAGGAGUUGGGUUGGAGUGGCAACACCCUGCAGGUUUCUCUGGGAAGGACUGGCCUUCAGUGGCGGGAGGAUGGCUCACCCAAAGCUUGGUGCUUCCCUCGGGGCCUCCAGCCUCGCUUUCUGUCCUUCCGUGGCGCGGAUGUCCCUUUGUCUCAGCCAUGUGCCCCCUCCAGUCUCCUCGUGGUCGGGGACUUUGCGGCCGGUGUUCCAUUCCCAGCGGUCGGCUGGUUCCUGGGGGGCUGGGAUGGGCCACACGGAGGCCCCGCAGGACCGAGGUCACCUGCCUGUGACCACCAGCCGCCUCCCCGUACGCCAGUUUGGGGCAGCUGAAGACGGGGGCCAGCUCCUCCAGUGCCUCCCGGGGUGGAGUCCAUGUCCACUGACCGGCCAGUCUGGGGGUGAAAGGUCCAGCCCCGGCUCCAGUCUGGGACCCUUCUCGGGGGGCCGCCGCGGUGGGGUCAGCCGGCUCGCGUUGCCUCUGAGUCACUGAGUGACGUCUCCAGGCCUCGUCCUGCUGCUCCUGUUCACUCACGGCUGCUUUCCCAGGAGGCCCCUCGCCCGCUCCACAAAGCACAAAGCCCCGCGUCUAUUUCCCGCCCAUGAG
Molecule: long non-coding RNA, 3970 nt
Organism: Bos grunniens (domestic yak)
Lineage: Eukaryota; Metazoa; Chordata; Mammalia; Artiodactyla; Bovidae
Source: Ensembl